AGGAUUAUAGUUAAAUAUAACAUUUGAUUUGCAAUCAAAAAGUACUUAAAUAGUUAGUCUUU
RNAcentral lists this transfer RNA (62 nucleotides) under Deltocephalinae sp. EMHAU-2015-Zz052318. RNAcentral describes it as "tRNA-Ala". It matches the Rfam family "tRNA". Rfam says of the family: Transfer RNA (tRNA) molecules are approximately 80 nucleotides in length. Their secondary structure includes four short double-helical elements and three loops (D, anti-codon, and T loops). The record is from RNAcentral. Lineage: Eukaryota; Metazoa; Arthropoda; Insecta; Hemiptera; Cicadellidae.